Molecule: long non-coding RNA, 390 nt
Organism: Gorilla gorilla gorilla (western lowland gorilla)
Lineage: Eukaryota; Metazoa; Chordata; Mammalia; Primates; Hominidae
Exons: 2
Source: RefSeq, a predicted model, not a curated record
UCCCCAGAAAUCUGGGAAGACUUCUAACUGGAAGACUGGAAGACUUCUAACUGGAGAUAAUGCAGUAGAGAUAUGAGACUAGGAAGAAGCUUGUGGCUGAUGAUAAACAUAUGGGAUCCUUCCAAAAAAAGGACGGCACUGAAGUUAUGAACUGAAGAUGCUUAUGAAGUCAUUAGUAUCAUGGACUGUAAAAAUCAAACACUGUGUAAUUCUCAGAAUACAACUAGACACUGCUCUCAUGGGAAGGAGAUUGAACUAUGUGUCUUGCGUCUUGGAAAAAAUGCAAAGCGACUCACUAACCAUGAAGAAAUAGCAAAUUAGGAAGACAGGAUGAUCAGUUUCCUUGUCUUAUUAAAAAAUAAAGUCUGCUUUCUUUUCUCUCUCCUUUUA